This is a long non-coding RNA of Mustela erminea (ermine), 3597 nucleotides long. RefSeq lists it as uncharacterized. Lineage: Eukaryota; Metazoa; Chordata; Mammalia; Carnivora; Mustelidae. The record is from RefSeq and is a predicted model, not a curated record. The transcript is spliced from 2 exons.
AGCCCUGGGAGGGAGAGGGGAAGCCUGGGCCCCGGAGGAGAGGUUCUUUGAGCUGCAGUUCCAGUCGGAAGAAACAGAUUUUGAAAGUUUCCUGUUGUUUAACCUUAUCUGGAAAGUAAGCAUUUCAGGGUCUUUCCGAAGGUGAAGGGCACAGUUUGCUCGCACUUGGUUCUUCAGUGUCCCCGGAAGAGAGAAGACUCGGGAGGGACGAGCUCCCCCUGGGUCUUGCUCCCUCUUCUGCCCUUUCACCCGGAGCUCUCACGGCCCAGCCUCCUGACAUCAGCCCUUAUUUUUAGGGAUGUUUUGAUGUGACAUGUGUAACACACGCUGCGACCCAGGCAUUCGGACCGGAUGGCCAAAGGCACUUGAGCUGAUUCACGGUCGGCUGUCCUUCACCUUGGGGCCCGGACAAUGGGAAGCUGGGCUGGAUCCCGGGACUUCUGAGGGUGUGGAGGAAUGACGGAGGUGGGGGGCUCUCAGGGGUCCCCCCGCCAGCCUGCAGGACCAGUCCGCUCUGCUCAGCCAGCUAAGACUUUGUGACCCGCCAAGACCCCUGCCCACCAGCCCUACAGUGGAGGUGCUGCCCAGUGUGCUGCUGGCCACAUGCACACUGCAGGACAAGUCCCAGGGGACAUACAGAAAGCACCAGGAGGCCGCUUGAAAUUAAUUUUCAAGGAGAGAGCCUCCCUGUGCUUUUUGAGGGAGAGGUGGCCCUGGCUUGAUGCUGAGUGCAGUGAUCUACACACGCGUUAGCAAUGGACACCUAGGAGAGGGAACUUGGCUGCAUGGGACCCCCGUCAAUGGUCAAGGACCAGGAAGAGAAGAGAUAGUUUCUUUUUCAGAAACAACCUCCAGUGAAGCAGUGAAAUCACACACACACACACACACACACACACACACACACACCCCUGCAAAACACAUCUGAGCUGGGGCAACCAUGGGGAAGUGUCCCGGUAGGAAUGUGUUAUCUUCCUUUAAGAAGCAACCAGCUCCCCCAUAGCCGGGCUCAGCUUUCCAGCCCAGGCCAUGCUCUUCCUGAGCUGCCCCAUCAGUGACUGAACUUGGGGUGGGGACUUACGUUUUGAGGGCGUGGGCAUUGCUACCUGUCCCAGUCCUCUAAUAGGAAGGCAUUGUUCCGGAGCUGGCGGAGACUCUGCCAGAUUUGCCCCACGGGCCGGGGCUCCCCUUGCUCAACCCUGGUUCCUCCCCUUUCACCUUUUAAAUCUCUUGCUCUUUCUCUGUGUCUGUGACCGCUUCCCAGAGGGCCUGCCUAGUGCAGGAGCACAAACAGGAAGACGUUUGGAAAUCGCAGUGGACCAAAGUCCUUUCCCAGCCCCGACUGCACCGUAGGCCGUUCCCUCUGCCCUACAGUAGUGAGCCUCCAGCUGCUUCGUGCCGGGAGUGCUGGGACCGGCGGAUUCACUCAGACCCGGGGACACCAGGCUUCUGGCUCGAGCCUCGGUGUCAGCAAACCCAGCAGAUGCCUCCAGAAAGGAUCUCAAGGCCUCAAUCACCUGCCUUCCUCCGUCCUUCACGGAUGUGUCCAACCCCAUCAUCAGUGUCUUCUGUGAGUGUAAGACUUUUAAUCCCACCCCAGCAGGAGCCCAGCUUCCCUCCGACCUCCUGCCGAUGCUCAUUUGGAAUGGGGCUGGGGAGCAGAUACGGGAAAGAAGGGAUUCCAGGGAGGCUGAGGAUGGAAAUGCAGACUGGGAUGAUGAGAAGGAGGCCGAAGACAGACUUUGCCUAUGUUAAGGGUUCAGCUGUGUGACCCCCAAAGAUACAUGAAGUCCUACCCACCAGGGCCUGUGAACGUGACCUUCUUUGGGGUACGGAUUUUGCAGUUGUGAUCAAGAUCAGAUGACGUCAUCAGGGUGGGCCCUACUCCGCUUUGAUGGGACCCUUCCGGAAGAGGAGGGAAAAGAAGGCUCCAUGGAGCGGGGGCAGGGCGGGGGAGGCAGAGCCUCGGAGAUGCUGCCCCCCGCCCAGGACCACCCACGGCCUCCAGGACUGGAAGAGGCCGAGAAGGAGCCUCCCCAAGAGGCUUCGGAGGGAGCACGGCCCUAUCUGUCAGCAUCUGUCAACACCCUGGUUUCAGACUCGUAGCCUCUGGAGGGUGGGAGGCUAGAGUUGUUUUCAGCCCCCGUCCGGGACACUCCGUGACGGUGGCCCUGGAAAGCUGGCGCGCCUGGUUCUCUCAUUCCUAAACACAGAGCUGUCCUUACGAUAAGUACCGUGGGUUGCUGUGAUCCUGUGUUGGAGGUACGGCUAUCUCAGCCGCAGAAUAAACUGUGGGAACGAGAAAGAUUGCAGCCGGGGGCUAGCGGGGCCACGGGUCCUGCCAGAGCCGGUAGCCGACGGGGCUGAGCUGCCUGGGACGCAUCACGUGCGCGCCGCCGGCAAGUGAAUGGGCUCUCGGUAGAGACGACCACCGACCACCGUGGGCGGCGGGGGACCGGCAAGCAGCAGUGGGAGGAGGAGAAGAGUGCCCCGGCCGGUCGAUCCGCAGGUGCAAGCGUUCUGGAAGAGGAGGGAGGUCCGGAAUAAAAGGCGGGCUCCGGCUCAUGUUCCCAGAAGGCAAGGCGGGAGGAGAAAGCUUGCCUGGGGGCCGGCCGGGCUCCCCAGGACUGCAAGGACAGCGUCGUGGGACGAGGAGCACCUGCGGGAGACCCCGGGGUCCCUCGUCGCCUCCGGGAGCCGUGCGGAGAGACGGACGGAGCCACCUGUCCCGAGUGUGGUGUCUGGCUUCGGGAGAACUGCAGAAAGGUUUCUUUGCUAAGAGUCACCUCCUUUGUUAGAAUUGCCCAGAAGGGCAGCAGCAGCGGCAGCGCUUCCGGAGAUCAAAGGGUCUGUAUCCCCCAGUGACAGUAUGAGCGGUUUAGGAAUCCCUUGUCACCCCGGAGACAUAGCAGCCGGGACCAUGGUUCUCACAACCUGCGGCUGGUGAGCGCUGCCAGUGAGAGCCUGGCUGGCGGCGGGCACGGGCAGGGCACCAGGGGGGCAUGGGGCAGAGAGUGGAGCCCGUGGCCGGGCUGGGGAUCGGUGGGCCGGUCCCGGAGUCUCAGGGUUUGUGUCCGAAUCGGAGGAAGGGUAAGCAGCGGACAAAGCACAGGAGCCACGGACGGGGUGUCCGGACCUGUUCUCCAGAUGCCAGCGAUGGGAGCAUUGACUCACCCCCGAUCUUACAAGCAUGGACAGUCUAAGGCUGGCCCCCGGCAGUAGCGAGCCAGCGCGGUGACAGGGGACAGUCAGCUCAGAUCUUCACGUCUGCUUCGCUUCUGCUCUCCUCCCAAAGCACAGCUCAUUACGGCCUCAUUUUUCUUCUCUUACUUGGAAAAUGUUAUUACUCGUGCUAAUUCUAAAAUGGGUAGAUUUGAGUUAUGGAAAGAAAUCCUUCUAAAUUAAAAUUCUCUAUGACAAAGAUCUCUGCAUCUCAGUGACCAUCUACUUCAAGUGAUGCUUCGGAUGUCAAAAAUGGCUCUACAAAGUAGGUUUGCGCACCGUUCCCUGGGAGUUAUUAAAUACCCAUAUCAAGCAAAGUCAACAAACGUGUGCUUAGUGGCAAUUAUGGUUAUAGAGAAAUAAAAAAAUUUAAAACAA